GAUGAAGAACGUAUUGAAAUGCGAUACGUAGUGUGAAUUGCAGAAUUCAGUGAAUCAUCGAAUCUUUGAACGCACAUUGCGCCCUUUGGUAUUCCAAAGGGCAUGCCUGUUCGAGCGUCAUUUGUACCCUCAAGCUUUGCUUGGUGUUGGGCGUUUUUGUCUUUGGCCCGCCAAAGACUCGCCUUAAAAUGAUUGGCAGCCGGCCUACUGGUUUCGCAGCGCAGCACAUUUUUGCGCUUGCAAUCAGCAAAAGAGGACGGCAAUCCAUCAAGACUCCUUCUCACGUUUGACCUCGGAUCAGGUAGGGAUACCCGCUGAACUUAAGCAUAUCAAUAAGCGGAGGA
RNAcentral lists this unclassified non-coding RNA (344 nucleotides) under soil metagenome. Its description in RNAcentral is "partial contains 5.8S ribosomal RNA, internal transcribed spacer 2, and large subunit ribosomal RNA". The stretch from base 1 to 120 matches the Rfam family "5.8S ribosomal RNA", at positions 35 to 154 of the family's 154-position model. The record is from RNAcentral.